RNAcentral lists this small RNA (100 nucleotides) under Vulpes vulpes (red fox). Its description in RNAcentral is "7SK RNA (ENSVVUG00000004016.1)". It matches the Rfam family "7SK RNA", at positions 2 to 107 of the family's 331-position model. Rfam says of the family: 7SK was discovered as an abundant small nuclear RNA in the mid-70s but a possible function has only recently been suggested. Two independent studies have found that 7SK RNA binds the CDK9/cyclin T complex (known as elongation factor P-TEFb). Lineage: Eukaryota; Metazoa; Chordata; Mammalia; Carnivora; Canidae. The record is from RNAcentral.
GAUGUGAGGGGCACCUGGCUCCAGCAUUUGUCAGCCCACUGAUCAGCAGGGUUGACUUGGCUGAUCUGGUUGGCUAGGUGGUGUGCCCUUCCUCACGAUC